This 375-nucleotide ribosomal RNA is filed under the name Triticum aestivum (bread wheat). Its description in RNAcentral is "partial small subunit ribosomal RNA". Lineage: Eukaryota; Viridiplantae; Streptophyta; Magnoliopsida; Poales; Poaceae. The record is from RNAcentral.
AUGGAAAAAAUGAAGGACGCGCCGGUACCAGAAGGUGAAGAGCCAAAGUCUGCUGCUCAAAUUGUUGAAGAAGUGGUGAAGACCGAAGUCAAGGAAAGCACAUUCCUCAGAAAUGUUGGGCUCCAGUCAUCUAGGAACAACUCUAGCAAAGCAACUGCUGAAGUGGCUGCUCAUGUUCGUGAUCUUGAGCAGAAGCUGGAGAGGUCGGAGCUUCAAGCUGAAGUGAUGCAAGUAGAAUUGGCGACAAUCAAGAUGAAGGCGGAAGAAGCCGAAGCUGCACGCGACAAGGAACUUGAGCUGCUGCGCAAGAAGUCUCAAGAGCAAGAAGAGAAGUUAGCCCACUUGAUGGCUCUCUUUGGAGCUAAGGUAGUUUGA